This 85-nucleotide transfer RNA is filed under the name Felis catus (domestic cat). It matches the Rfam family "tRNA". Rfam says of the family: Transfer RNA (tRNA) molecules are approximately 80 nucleotides in length. The record is from Rfam by way of RNAcentral. Lineage: Eukaryota; Metazoa; Chordata; Mammalia; Carnivora; Felidae.
GCCUGGGUGGCUCAGUCAGUUAAGCGUCUGACUUUGGCUCAGGUCAUGAUCUCACAGUUCGUGAGUUCAAGCUCCACCUUGGGCU